GGGGUGCAGCAGGCGCGAAACCUCUGCAAUAGGCGAAAGCCUGACAGGGUUACUCUGAGUGAUGCCCGCUAAGGGUAUCUUUUGGCACCUCUAAAAAUGGUGCAGAAUAAGGGGUGGGCAAGUCUGGUGUCAGCCGCCGCGGUAAUACCAGCACCCCGAGUAGUCGGGACGAUUAUUGGGCCUAAAGCAUCCGUAGCCGGUUCUGCAAGUCCUCCGUUAAAUCCACCUGCUCAACAGAUGGGCUGCGGGGGAUACCGCAGAGCUAGGAGGCGGGAGAGGCAAACGGUACUCAGUGGGUAGGGGUAAAAUCCUUUGAUCUACUGAAGACCACCAGUGGCGAAGGCGGUUUGCCAGAACGCGCUCGACGGUGAGGGAUGAAAGCUGGGGGAGCAAACCGGAUUAGAUACCCGGGUAGUCCCAGCUGUAAACGAUGCAGACUCGGUGAUGGGCCGGCUUUAUGCCAGCUCAGUGCCGCAGGGAAGCCGUUAAGUCUGCCGCCUGGGGAGUACGGUCGCAAGACUGAAACUUAAAGGAAUUGGCGGGGGAGCAC
This 550-nucleotide ribosomal RNA is filed under the name uncultured crenarchaeote. RNAcentral describes it as "bacterial SSU rRNA". It matches the Rfam family "Archaeal small subunit ribosomal RNA", at positions 327 to 879 of the family's 1478-position model. Lineage: Archaea; Thermoproteati; Thermoproteota. The record is from RNAcentral.